Molecule: long non-coding RNA, 324 nt
Organism: Oncorhynchus nerka (sockeye salmon)
Lineage: Eukaryota; Metazoa; Chordata; Actinopteri; Salmoniformes; Salmonidae
Exons: 2
Source: RefSeq, a predicted model, not a curated record
AACCAGACAGUAGUUGAGCACUAGAAUGCUAAACACAGCUAGUUAGCGUUGUUGUGCCAGAGGUUGUACAAUGGUGCAUGGUUAUGCAGUUGGGGCCACUUCGAGGGUAGUGCGUACGGCCCAGUACAUCACUAGGGACAAGUUCCUGCCAUCCAGGACCUCUAUACCAGGAAGUGUCAGAAGAAGGCCCUAAAAAUUGUCAAAGACUCCAGCCAUGCUAGUCAAGUACUGUAAUGCCAAGAGUGUGCAAAGCUGUCAGUAAGGCAAAGGGUGGCUACUUUGAAGAAUCUAAAAUAGAAAAUAUAUUUUGGUUUGUUUAACACA